CGCGGGGGAGAGGACCAAGAGCUGAGACACGCCCCAGGCGCACCCCACAGUGCCCGGAACCGCGGGGCUCGGGGACCCGCGGGGGUCGGAGUCCGGGCCCACUCCCUGGCUGGCGGUGGACCUGGCUGACUCAUUUCGGUCCGGGGAGCUCACUUUGAGGGAAGUUGGGGUCCGCCUAGCCACUUAGGCCUGGACUCAGGGUUCUGCGGAAGUUAUACCCCUGACAAGGACUCGCUACAUUGCCCGGUCUGGUCUCGAACUCCUGCAGGCUCAAGGGAUCCUCCUGCCUCAGCCUCCUGAGUAGCUUGGACUAAAGACGCGUGUCACGGUUCCUGGCCAAUGAGUUUUUACUUCAUUUACUGUUUGAACACUGUUCUGGUCAAUCUACUUAUGGCACGAACUGGGUCCUGAUGGAGGAGAGGGGGAGAUACUGCAGAAGUAGUGAAUAUUGUUCUUGCCCUUUAGCAAAAAAGUUUAUCUGGGAAGCAAACAUAAUUACAUAAAAUGGACAAUA
Molecule: long non-coding RNA, 514 nt
Organism: Symphalangus syndactylus (siamang)
Lineage: Eukaryota; Metazoa; Chordata; Mammalia; Primates; Hylobatidae
Source: RefSeq, a predicted model, not a curated record